CUUCACUGUCCACGCUAUACCCACUGCCAAAGCUGCUGCCCGAGGAGCCGGUGGACACAGAGCUUUCUGCAGGCCGGUGAUUGAAGUGAAGAAGCAAAAUAGAAUAACAUUAAGAAGAGAGUGAAAAUUUUGUGCUUGUUUGUAUGUAGCUCUACCAACUAUCUCUAGCAGGUUUUAAAAAUUUAAAGGUAUUUGUUUUCCCUUUGGCAUUUCCUAGUUUAUGGCUAGAACUUGUUUCAAAAAUUUCAUGUUUGAUUUUUUUCAUACAAGAAUUCCUGGUCCCAUAGACACAUUAUCAACUUGAACUCUAAUUUAUUCAGUAGAAGCAUAGUACUAACAUUGUUAGCAGAGUUCUAGAUUUACAGAAGAUUUAGAAGGAAAUUUUGAUGCAAAAAGAAGGAAAAGAAGAUCCUUGAAAGGGUGUGUGGGACCUUCCAAAGGUCAAUGGACACACUUUGAGAAUUACAGGCACUUGGAUAGUCACAUGCCCAACACAUCUGAUACACUUAACAACUAUGGAAACACGAGUGGAAAAUGUCUGCUUGUAGGAUCAAGAGAACUUUCACCCUGUAAAGGUGAGUGAGUGCGUUAACAAUUUUUCCUUUACUUUCCUCUAAGAAUUUCCAAAAUUCACUGAAUUUUUAAAAAGUUACACUUGAAAUAAUAGGCAACAAAACUGAUCUACAUUUCAACUGGUAUGCUAACUUGACUUGUGAGCAAUUUAAACUUUUAUCACAAUGCAACAUAUUUAUAGUCAUGCUUGAACAGAUUAGGUUAGUAGCAUGCAUUCCAUUCUGCCAUAUGAAUACUGUUAAUCUAUUUCCCAACAAAUGUCAAAAGAUGCCCAGUGCAUAGAAAAAUACAAAUCACUGUAGUCAAUAGAUUACGGGACUGAUCUUGGGACUUACAUGGUGAUGAUGAAGUCCUGAAAUGCCAUGCUCACAAAAGCACAUUAAAAAGUGGAUAAACAUAUUUAUCAGACAAUCUCUAAAAAUUAAAGAUGAGAGCUUUAAGUUUGGGGGAUGUUCUUGCUGUGUGCUUUGAACAGGGCCUUUUUCUGCUCACCUCCUUCUGGCUUGACUGGUCCAUCAGACAUCACCUUCCUGAGGGCUAGCUGGCUUUGGUCUUGGUUGCCAUUGGCUGGUGGAGGCAGAUUAUCAGACUGAGUUCUUUGAAUGGGGAGGACUCCUGCUAUGCUGUGUCUGUGCUGCUUCCUGGCAUGAUUGGACUGACCGCUUUUAUGUGCUGCUGUGGCGGUGUGGGUGAAAUGGAAACCCAGAGUAUGUAUCCUCAGAUGGAACCAGCUUAAAUGUUAUUCAUGCAAACAGAAGUGUUCUUUUGCUCUAAGUAUUUAAGUAAGUUGUGUUUUUAAAUGCCGAAAUGACACCACAUGCACAGCACUAACGGGGGUUAAAACUGGCUGUUUCUUUGAAAAUGACGACUAGGGAGAAGGGGAGAACAACACUCUAUCUUCAUUGGCUUAUGCUUCUUAGAAGUCACAGUGUACCAACUUCUGUGAAAUAUCUGCACUUACGAGGUUUUUAUAUAAUUGAAUCAGCUGACUAAAUUUUCACAAAUGAAAUGAAAAUACAGUAGUUAAAAUGAGUGAAUUGCUAUACUUUGAUUUACACCUACCAACAUAGCACAUCGUGACUUUCAUAGAAUUUCCAAUAAUUCGAAAAAAAUAGCCUGGAUAUUCUCUGUUAUCAUGUACAAAGUGUGAUCCAACAGAAUGGACCCAUUGUGCUCCUCAAUGAGGUUGUGUUAUCUCCUCACAUAUGCUAAUACACAUAUAUGUAUAUAUAUAUAUAUUUUAAUUUUAAGACUAUAAGAAAUAUAAUUUUCCCCACAGAUUUUUCAAAAGACUAGAAAGUUGCACAGAUGGAAAGCUACAACAUUUUACAUGCAUAAUUUAUUGGUGUUUUGAAGCACUGGUUUAAAAUGGCUUUUCCCCCUGGAUUCUAGAACUUGACUGUUGAUCACAUUACUUUUCUCCUUAAAAUUUUUGAGUGUUUUCAGGAACAAGAAUCUCAUUGCUAAUCUGCUCUAAAUACUAAAGUGUAUGUGCUUUUUUGGUGUAAUGUCUGGAAGACUGGCAGCCGCUUGUGCUUAUAGUUCCCGUAUUCUAAAGGAUAUUUAAGCGCACACAUAAAGGACGCACAACGUUGCUUUGCCUGCAAACAUCACAGACACAGCGACCAAAUGCUAUGAGCCAGGUUGGAUGGAUGGUGGAAACAAAGGAGAAACAGCCAGUUUUUUUGCAGUCUAUGUAAGUUAAAAAAAAAAAAAA
Long non-coding RNA from Tupaia belangeri chinensis (Chinese tree shrew), 2290 nucleotides. RefSeq lists it as uncharacterized. The record is from RefSeq and is a predicted model, not a curated record. Lineage: Eukaryota; Metazoa; Chordata; Mammalia; Scandentia; Tupaiidae. The transcript is spliced from 4 exons.